RNAcentral lists this ribosomal RNA (139 nucleotides) under Abditibacteriaceae bacterium. RNAcentral's name for it is "Abitibacteriaceae bacterium (rhizosphere metagenome) partial 23S ribosomal RNA". It matches the Rfam family "Bacterial large subunit ribosomal RNA", at positions 1 to 141 of the family's 2925-position model. Lineage: Bacteria; Pseudomonadati; Abditibacteriota; Abditibacteriia; Abditibacteriales; Abditibacteriaceae. The record is from RNAcentral.
AGUCAAGUAAGGAAGGGCACACGAUGGAUGCCUUGGCACUUAGAGCCGAAGAAGGGCGUAGCCAGCAACGAAACGCUCCGGUUAGUCGCUAGCAGACUCACCCGGAGAUUCCCGAAUGGGGCAACCCAACAGGAGUUAU